GCCCACUGAAGAUUUUUAAAUGGCCGCAGUAAUUUGACUGUGCAAAGGUAGCAUAAUCAUUAGUUUUUUAAUUAAAAGCUUGUAUGAAAGGUUGGACGAAGUAAAAUCUGUCUCUAUUUAAAUUAAAGUAGAAUUUAAUUUUUAAGUUAAAAAGCUUAAAUUUUAGUAAAAGACGAGAAGACCCUAUAGAACUUUAUAAUUUAAUUAAUAUAAUAUAUUAGGAUUUAUUUAAGUUUUAUUAGUUAAAUUAUUUUAUUGGGGUAAUAGGAAGAUUAAAUGAAUUCUUUUUUAAAGUUAACAUUUAUUUAUGAUAUUAAUGAUCCAUUUUUAGUGAUUAUAAGAUUAAGUUACCUUAGGGAUAACAGCGUAAUUUUUUUGGAGAGUUCAUAUCGAUAAAAAAGUUUGCGACCUCGAUGUUGGAUUAAAGAUUAAUUUAGGUGUAGAAGUUUAAAUUUUUGGUCUGUUCGACCAUUAAAUCUUUACAUGAUCUGAGUUCAGACCGGUGUAAGCCAGGUCGGUUUCUAUCUUUAUUAAAUUUAAAUAUUUUAGUACGAAAGGACCAAAUAUUUGAUAUAAUUAUAUUUUUAAUUUUGAAUAUUAAUAUUAUUUUGGCAGAUUAGUGCAAUAAAUUUAGAAUUUAUAAAUGUAAUUAUAUUACAAAUAAUACUUGUUUUAUAUAGAUUUAUUAUUUUCUUUAAUUUGUAUAGUAUUAUUAUUAAUUUGUGUUUUAGUAGGAAUUGCUUUUUUAACUUUAUUGGAACGUAAAGUAUUAGGUUAUA
RNAcentral lists this ribosomal RNA (779 nucleotides) under Pterostichus asymmetricus. RNAcentral's name for it is "partial 16S rRNA". The stretch from base 1 to 552 matches the Rfam family "Bacterial large subunit ribosomal RNA", at positions 1907 to 2925 of the family's 2925-position model. The record is from RNAcentral. Lineage: Eukaryota; Metazoa; Arthropoda; Insecta; Coleoptera; Carabidae.